Molecule: ribosomal RNA, 1420 nt
Filed under: metagenome
Description: bacterial SSU rRNA
Rfam family: Archaeal small subunit ribosomal RNA
Source: RNAcentral
GUUGAUCCUGCGGGAGGUUGCUGCUAUUUGGGUUCGAUUAAGCCAUGCAAGUCUUCUAGCAAUAGAGGCAGAAUGCUCAGUAACACGUCGAUAACUUGCCCUUAAGUCUGGAAUAACCUCGGGAAACUGAGGCUAAGACCGGAUAGGAAAUUAGUUCUGGAAAGAUUUUUUUCUGAAAGGUAACGCUUAAGGAUAUUCGGCGGCGGAUUAGGCUGUUGGCGAGGUAACGGCUCACCAAACCUUAGAUCCGUACGGGCUCUGAGAGGAGUAGCCCGGAGAGGGGCACUAAGGUACAGGCCCCAGCCCUACGGGGUGCAGCAGGCGCGAAACCUUUACAAUGCACGCAAGUGUGAUAAGGGAACCCAAAGUGCUUAGUUAUACUAGGCUUUUGUUGAGUGUAGAUAACUUGACGAAUAAGCAGUGGGCAAGACUGGUGCCAGCCGCCGCGGUAACACCAGCUCUGCAAGUGGCAAUCCCAUUUAUUUGGCCUAAAGCGUCCGUAGCCGAUUAAGUAAAUCUCUUGUGAAAUUGUUCUGCUCAACAGAACAGCGUGCAGGAGACACUGCUUAGUUAGGGACCGGGAGGAGUCAGAUGUAUGCUUAGGGGAGCGGUAAAAUGUUAUAAUCCUAAGUAGACCACCUGUGGCGAAGGCGUCUGACUAGAACGGGUCCGACGGUGAGGGACGAAAGCCAAGGGAGCAAACCGGAUUAGAUACCCGAGUAGUCUUGGCUGUAAACUCUGCGAACUAGGUGUUGCAUAUUCUCCGUGAAUAUGCGGUGUCGAAGCGAAGGUGUUAAGUUCGCCGCCUGGGAAGUACGGUCGCAAGACUGAAACUAAAAGGAAUUGGCGGGGGAGCACUACAAGGGGUGCGGCGUGCGGUUUAAUCUAACUCCACGCAGAGAAUCUCACCAGAGGCGACGGCAAGAUGAAGGUCAGUCUGAAGGGCUUACCUGAUGAGCCGAGAGGUAGUGCAUGGCCGCCGUCAGCUCGUGCCGUAAGGUGUCCUGUUAAGUCAGGCAACGAGCGAGACCUGUAUCCACAAUUGCUAACGACUGAUUUUUAGAAUCGAGCACAUUGUGGGGACUGCCCUGGAAACAGGGAGGAAGGUGCAGGCAACGGUAGGUCUGUAUGCUCCGAAUCUUCUGGGCUACACGCGCGCAACAAUGGUGCAGACAAUGGGUUGCAACUCCGAAAGGAGAAGCUAAACCUCGAAACUGCAUCCAAGUCCGGAUUGAGGGCUGUAACUCGCCCUCAUGACGCUGGAAUCCCUAGUAAUCGGUCCUCAUCAUAGACCGGUGAAUAUGUCCCUGCUCCUUGCACACACCGCCCGUCAAACCACCCGAGUAGGGUCUAGAUGAGGCUUGGUUUUGAAUCAAGUCGAAUCUAAGCUUUGCGAGGAGGGUUAAGUCGUCACAAGGUA